UACAGGGGGGGCAAGCGUUGUUCGGAAUUACUGGGCGUAAAGGGCUCGUAGGUGGCCAACUAAGUCAGACGUGAAAUCCCUCAGCUUAACUGGGGAACUGCGUCUGAUACUGGAUGGCUUGAAUCCGGGAGAGGGAUGCAGAAUUCCAGGUGUAGCGGUGAAAUGCGUAGAUAUCUGGAGGAAUACCGGUGGCGAAGGCGGCAUCCUGGACCGGCAUUGACGCUGAGGAGCGAAAGCCAGGGGAGCAAACGGG
This 253-nucleotide ribosomal RNA is filed under the name uncultured bacterium. RNAcentral describes it as "partial 16S ribosomal RNA". It matches the Rfam family "Bacterial small subunit ribosomal RNA", at positions 524 to 776 of the family's 1533-position model. The record is from RNAcentral.